Long non-coding RNA from Gasterosteus aculeatus aculeatus (three-spined stickleback), 857 nucleotides. Lineage: Eukaryota; Metazoa; Chordata; Actinopteri; Perciformes; Gasterosteidae. The record is from Ensembl.
UGCUUUUAAUGAGUUUCAGACGGAACAUUUUCUCCAACAUGAAAAUGCUGUAAUAGCUCAAAGAACGCAGCGCCGACGAGUAACGUGAAUGUGUUUAGAGUAAUAACUGGUUAUCUGUUGUUGCAUUGCUGGUGAGGUCGCCAGGUACCCCCCCCCUAACCCCACCACCCCCCCACCGAACCCGCUGACAGAUUUCCUGUUCUGUUAUUAUCUAAUCAGGAGUGAAACCUGAGAGACGCACCGGCUGUGGAGGCGAUCUGACACAGAUUAUGGAGCAGUAACUACUCACACCUACGAAAACACAAGCGAGGACCUGACAGGAAACCAGAGGGGGGAGCACAGUUGUCUCCGGUGUUCUAAGACUUCCUGAUCUACAAGGCUUGGAAGCCGCUGCUCCUCAUUGACAGAUUUGCUCUAAAAAAACAUUGAUGAAGACAUGAUGAAACGACCCCACGCCGAUCAGGUGGUCGGGUUCAUGUCAGGUACAAAGCGACUUGGUGGAAGUGGUGCUGAUGAAGGCGACCAAGUCACUGGACCUCCACCUUUCAAAAGUCCAGGGUCACCUGGACUCACCGGGUCGGCCCGGUUCAUGGAAGCAGCAGGUGCUCCUGGCAGUUCUUCCUGUGCCUUGAAGGAGGUUUAUCGCUAAAUCCCUGAACAGAGAGGGACACCAGAUAUACAAGAUGGUGCUCCGGAAUGACGUGCUGAAAGCCAAGAAGGUGGAGUCGUGCAGCCGGGGCUGCGUGACGUGUGUGAUGUUUAGCCUGCAGAGUGCCAAUGUGUGUGCGUCGCAGCCCGUCAAUCAGGCUUCCACCAGAGUUGUGUGUUCGCCACCAGGGGAUUGUGGACAAAAGGAU